This 213-nucleotide long non-coding RNA is filed under the name Elaeis guineensis (African oil palm). Its description in RNAcentral is "long non-coding RNA (EGUI_LNC046400)". The record is from RNAcentral. Lineage: Eukaryota; Viridiplantae; Streptophyta; Magnoliopsida; Arecales; Arecaceae.
GUGGGGACUGAGUAUGUCAACAACUAUAGUGAGUUUAUUGUACUAUCCACAAGGCUUGCUAUAGUGAUUGGUAUGAUAUUGACUUAGUGAUGCUUAUGGCAUAUUCUGGUAGUGCUAUCUUGUUGUGCUAUCCACAAGGAUAGUAUUAUUCAAGUAUGACCAUAUAGGAAGGGUAUGACUUAACUAAAAUACUAUAGUUUGUUGUGUUAUCCA